This is a small nuclear RNA of Salvelinus fontinalis (brook trout), 111 nucleotides long. RefSeq annotates it as U5 spliceosomal RNA. The transcript has a single exon. Lineage: Eukaryota; Metazoa; Chordata; Actinopteri; Salmoniformes; Salmonidae. The record is from RefSeq and is a predicted model, not a curated record.
ACAUCCUGGGUUCUCUUUAAAUGGCAAAUCUUUCGCCUUUUACUAAAGUUUUCCGUGGAGAGGAACAUUAUGAGUUUUAGCAAAUUUGAUGUCCGGUCAUAUGGUUGGGCU